CCUACGGGUGGCAGCAGUGGGGAAUAUUGCACAAUGGGGGAAACUCUGAUGCAGCAACGCCGCGUGAGUGAAGAAGGAUUUCGGUAUGGAAAGCUCUAUCAGCAGGGAAGAAGAUGACGGUACCCGAAUCAGAAGCCCCGGCUAACUACGUGUCAGCAGCCGCGGUAAUACGUAGGGGGCACGCGUUAUCCGGAUUUACUGGGUGUAACGGGAGGGCAGACGGAGGUGCAAGUCUGGAGUGAAAGUCCGGGGCCCAACCCCGGAACUGCUCUGGAAACUGGGCGGCUAGAGUACUGGAGGGGCAGGCGGAAUUCCUAGUGUAGCGGUGAAAUGCGUAGAUAUUAGGAGGAACACCAGUGGCGAAGGCGGCCUGCUGGACAGUAACUGACGUUGAGGCUCGAAAGCGUGGGGAGCAAACAGGAUUAGAUACCCGUGUAGUC
RNAcentral lists this ribosomal RNA (440 nucleotides) under uncultured bacterium. Its description in RNAcentral is "partial 16S ribosomal RNA". It matches the Rfam family "Bacterial small subunit ribosomal RNA", at positions 338 to 795 of the family's 1533-position model. The record is from RNAcentral.